RNAcentral lists this ribosomal RNA (497 nucleotides) under uncultured bacterium. RNAcentral describes it as "partial 16S ribosomal RNA". It matches the Rfam family "Bacterial small subunit ribosomal RNA", at positions 28 to 507 of the family's 1533-position model. The record is from RNAcentral.
GAUGAACGCUGGCGGCGUGCCUAAUACAUGCAAGUCGAGCGAACGGACGAGAAGCUUGCUUCUCUGAUGUUAGCGGCGGACGGGUGAGUAACACGUGGAUAACCUACCUAUAAGACUGGGAUAACUUCGGGAAACCGGAGCUAAUACUGGAUAAUAUUUUGAACCGCAUGGUUCAAAAGUGAAAGACGGUCUUGCUGUCACUUAUAGAUGGAUCCGCGCUGCAUUAGCUAGUUGGUAAGGUAACGGCUUACCAAGGCAACGAUGCAUAGCCGACCUGAGAGGGUGAUCGGCCACACUGGAACUGAGACACGGUCCAGACUCCUAAGGGAGGCAGCAGUAGGGAAUCUUCCGCAAUGGGCGAAAGCCUGACGGAGCAACGCCGCGUGAGUGAUGAAGGUCUUCGGAUCGUAAAACUCUGUUAUUAGGGAAGAACAUAUGUGUAAGUAACUGUGCACAUCUUGAAGGUACCUAAUCAGAAAGCCACGGCUAACUACGUG